This is a long non-coding RNA of Agrilus planipennis (emerald ash borer), 1827 nucleotides long. RefSeq lists it as uncharacterized. The record is from RefSeq and is a predicted model, not a curated record. The transcript is spliced from 5 exons. Lineage: Eukaryota; Metazoa; Arthropoda; Insecta; Coleoptera; Buprestidae.
UAUUACAAAAUUUCAGUUUAAAUUUUUUCUGAAAAAAUCAAAUUAGCGCUUAUAGCGCCACUACAUUUAUUGAGUUUAGAGUCUAUCAUGAGAGUUCAUAGAGAACAAAGAUUCAAAGAGAACAUCGAUUAAAGAUCCUAGAGAAGUGAGGAAGAACAUUUAUAGUAAGAACAGACGUAAAAUAAUUAAUGUUGACUUGGUGAAUUGCUUUUUGAUCUACUCUCUAUAGGUUUUUCCUUCAUAGUCAUCUAUAUAACCGCAGCAUAAAUUGACAAUUAUUUAUGAAUCUAUGAAUUUAUUACAUUUUGCGAUGUUCUACGUUUUUGUCCAUCUUGCCAUCUUUUAUUGAAAUCGACGCUACGUCGCCAUUUUUAAAAUUUUGCAAUUUUAUAUGCUAUUCGAUUGAUGAUAAAUAAGAAUGGAAGAGUGUUCAUUUUGAUUCAACCGAAAAAGCUAGUUGUCUGCCAUGUUCGUUUCAUUUUGGAGGAUCUUCUAAUUAAUCACGGAACAUUAAAAAAAAACCCUGGAUAGCAUUAAUUUACAGUGCCUUAGUUGUGUCUGCGUUCAUUCGGUUCAGAAAGUAGCUGUCCUAAAAAGAAUCACAAAAGUGCCUUUUUUUCGAUUACGAACGAAUACAGUGUGGCAUUGCUGAAGGAAGGAUUUAUGACAAAUGAACUGAUUGUCCAAGUGAGAAGAAAUUACAGCUAAUUCUGAUGGUACUGAAAGAGUCGAUGCUUUUGAUGUCUUACCCUUGCAACAUAAUUUUGAACCUGAGAAGGGGAGGCAUUUGAAAAUUACUUUGGAAACGACUGAAACAACAACUUGUCUGCAGUGAUAUUCCUCCUGGAUUUGGCUUGUUAAUUCUACCUGUGGACCUUAGGAAGCUACUUUCUGCAGUUAUUUAAGAUUGCCCAACAAAUGAGUUCAGUUUGGCGCUACUCGAGCAACUGUCUACAUGUGUGUGGUCUUUUCUAGACUUCGUUCAUGAUUUGAUAUUUUCAUCUUCACUUCUCAAAACUAUGUUGAUUUUCGGCGGAUUAGUGGGAGCAACUAAAGAUUUAUUUGAUUUCAAGUGGAACAACAAAAUUUCUGCUAUGGAGUUGGUUUGCUUUCCACACCUGCAAACUUUGGAACAUUACGAUCUACAGUUAAGUCGAGAAUACAUGACUUCAUUAAUAUUAAUUUCUCUUUAUUAAUCUGUAAUGAAAUUUCUGUUAACAAUCAUUGUCAACAGGAUAAAUUGAAGUUGUUGUGCAUUUAUAUCCCUUAACAGAUUUUAUUUUCCACAGAAGAGAUUGACAUUUAUCAUUGAUGUAUGGAGUUUCGUUUUAACCUUUGUCUAUUGUCUGCAUCGUAAAUUGACGUCGUGAUAUUUGACAUUUAUCUAUGUCGUGAUCUAUGGUUGUAAUGUAAAAUGGCGUGAAAGUAACGCUUGUUAUUUUAUAAUUGAGCUAUUUUUACUUGGUUUUUAUUUAUGUUUAUUAAUAAUACGUGUAAUUAAUGUUUUUUUAUCCAUUUCUGCAGGUUAUAUAAUAAAUGGGAGAGAAUUAAAGUUCAGUUUGGUUAUAUUGAAACAGCCAAUGUCUACAUGGGUGUGGUUAUGCAUAGAUUAUAUUCUUGAUUUGCUGUUUCGUCUUCGCCUUGUGACAUCAUGCAGUUAAUUUUUAACCCAUGAUUGAGAGCAACUGGAUAUCAUUUGAAUUCCACUGAAAUAACAAAUUCUCUGCUACAGUAUUCCUCCUGGAGUUUGUUUACUUUUCACACCUGUAAACUUUGGAAUGUUACCUUCUACAAUUAAUUAAGGUGAGAAUACUUGAUAUAAUCAAU